Molecule: ribosomal RNA, 599 nt
Filed under: Debaryomyces hansenii
Lineage: Eukaryota; Fungi; Ascomycota; Pichiomycetes; Serinales; Debaryomycetaceae
Description: partial large subunit ribosomal RNA
Rfam family: Eukaryotic large subunit ribosomal RNA
Source: RNAcentral
CCCCGGGCCCGGCGGCCGGGACGGGGUCGUAAAAACACACCACAUGCUCCAUUUGGAAUCUGGAACAUUCGGUGUCCGAGUUGUAAUUUGAAGAAGGUAACUUUGGAGUUGGCUCUUGUCUAUGUUCCUUGGAACAGGACGUCACAGAGGGUGAGAAUCCCGUGCGAUGAGAUGCCCAAUUCUAUGUAAAGUGCUUUCGAAGAGUCGAGUUGUUUGGGAAUGCAGCUCUAAGUGGGUGGUAAAUUCCAUCUAAAGCUAAAUAUUGGCGAGAGACCGAUAGCGAACAAGUACAGUGAUGGAAAGAUGAAAAGAACUUUGAAAAGAGAGUGAAAAAGUACGUGAUAUUGUUGAAAGGGAAGGGCUUGAGAUAAAACUUGGUAUUUUGCGAUCCUUUCCUUCGUGGUUGGGUUCCUCCCUGGCUGCUGGGUGGGCCUUCGUUUUUUUGGAUCAGUACUACCUAACGAGUGUGUCCCUCCUCCGCGUGAGAGGAAUAUACUAGGGUUGGAUAGAUAGUCCCGAGCAAGACGACGGACNCUUUGUUUUAAANAAGGAUAUCGCGNUAUUUUUUUUUACCCCCCCCUCUAAAANAAAAAAACAAA